This 146-nucleotide non-coding RNA is filed under the name Klebsiella indica. Lineage: Bacteria; Pseudomonadati; Pseudomonadota; Gammaproteobacteria; Enterobacterales; Enterobacteriaceae. The record is from RNAcentral.
CCCGUUAUCCCAUUAGCGGUAACCUACUGAGGCAGGCGACACCGGUAACAGUGUGGUCUGAAGCCCUCAGGACAACGUAACUCUGGAAAUAUCCGAUCUGAAUCCGUGAGGAUAGAGGGGCAUCUGCAAGCAUCGUGCGGAUGGAG